GGUUGGCUCAGAAGCAGCCAUCCUUUAAAGAGUGCGUAACAGCUCACUAGUCGAGUGACCCUGCGCCGAAAAUGUACCGGGGCUAAGCCUGAUACCGAAACUGCGGAUUGUAGGAAACUAUAGUGGUAGGGGAGCGUUGUAUACGAGUGGAAGCCGUACCGUGAGGAGCGGUGGAUUGUAUAGAAGUGAGAAUGCCGGUGUGAGUAGCGAGAUGUAGGUGAGAAUCCUACACACCGAAAGCCCAAGGAUUCCAGGGGAAGGUUCGUCCGCCCUGGGUAAGUCGGGACCUAACGCGAGGCCGAAAGGCGUAGUGGAUGGAAAGCAGGCGAAAGAUUCCUGCACCCGUAUAUGGAGCGAAGGAGUGACGGAGACGGAUAGUGUGACCCUCUUAAUGGAUUGAGGGCGAAGCGAAGCGGCUGGUUACCAGGCAAAUCCGGUAACCAAAAGGCUAGAGCGUGACAGGUAAGCGAAAUCUUCGGAAAGUAGCGAAGCACAUGAUGACGGCUUCCAGGAAAAGCUUCUGGCAAUGCAUAUGCGGCCCGUACCAAAACCGACACAGGUGGGCAGGGAGAGAAUCCCGAGGUGAGCGAGAGAACUGUUGCCAAGGAACUCGGCAAAAUGACUCCGUAAGUUAGCGAGAAGGAGUGCUUAAGCAAUUAAGCCGCAGUGAAGAGGCCCAAGCGACUGUUUAACUAAAACACAGCUCUCUGCGAAGUCGCAAGACGAAGUAUAGGGGGUGACACCUGCCCGGUGCUGGAAGGUUAAGAGGAUCUGUUAAGAGCGAUCUGAAGCAGUGAUCCGAAGCCCCAGUGAACGGCGGCCGUAACUAUAACGGUCCUAAGGUAGCGAAAUUCCUUGUCAGGUAAGUUCUGACCCGCACGAAAGGUGUAACGAUUUGGGCGCUGUCUCGGCAGCAGACUCGGUGAAAUCUUAGUACCUGUGAAAAUGCAGGUUACCCGCAACUAGACGGAAAGACCCCAUGGAGCUUUACUGCAGCCUGAUAUUGAAUUCUGGUCAUACAUGUACAGGAUAGGUGGGAGACAAAGAGACGUGCACGCCAGUGUACGAGGAGUCGACGUUGGGAUACCACUCUUGUGUGACCGGGGUUCUAACCUGGUAUCGAGAACAGGUACGGGGAGAGUGUCAGGUGGGCAGUUUGACUGGGGCGGUCGCCUCCCAAAGAGUAACGGAGGCGCCCAAAGGUACGCUCAGAUUGGAUGGAAACCAAUCGUCGAGUGCAAUUGCAGAAGCGUGCUUGACUGUGAGACUUACAAGUCGAACAGGGACGAAAGUCGGGAAUAGUGAUCCGGCGGUGCCGAAUGGAAGGGCCGUCGCUCAACGGAUAAAAGCUACCCUGGGGAUAACAGGCUGAUCUCGCCCAAGAGUUCACAUCGACGGCGAGGUUUGGCACCUCGAUGUCGGCUCAUCGCAUCCUGGAGCUGGAUUCGGUUCCAAGGGUUGGGCUGUCCGCCCAUUAAAGCGGUACGCGAGCUGGGUUCAGAACGUCGUGAGACAGUUCGGUCCCUAUCUGUUGUGGGCGAAGGAGAUCUGCGGAGAGCUGUCCUCAGUACGAGAGGACCGGGAUGGACCUACCGCUGGUGCACCGGUUGUUCCGCCAGGGGCAUAGCCGGGUAGCUAAGUAGGGAAAGGAUAAGCGCUGAAAGCAUCUAAGCACGAAGCCUACUCCAAGAUGAGAUCUCCCAUUCG
This 1707-nucleotide ribosomal RNA is filed under the name human gut metagenome. RNAcentral's name for it is "bacterial LSU rRNA". It matches the Rfam family "Bacterial large subunit ribosomal RNA", at positions 1099 to 2820 of the family's 2925-position model. The record is from RNAcentral.